Molecule: unclassified non-coding RNA, 285 nt
Filed under: uncultured fungus
Lineage: Eukaryota; Fungi
Description: partial contains small subunit ribosomal RNA, internal transcribed spacer 1, and 5.8S ribosomal RNA
Rfam family: Eukaryotic small subunit ribosomal RNA (bases 1-73)
Source: RNAcentral
ACAAACUUGGUCAUUUAGAGGAAGUAAAAGUCGUAACAAGGUCUCCGUUGGUGAACCAGCGGAGGGAUCAUUACCUGAAGCGAAAGCUCAGUAAACCACUGUGAAUAUACCUGUCUGUACUGCUCCGGCGGGCGGCUCCAGGGCGGAGCCACUGCCCGUUAGGUCGGGUGCCCGCCGGAGCCCACUGCAAACUCUGUCAUCGCGGGGCGUCAUCAGAGCUAAAGCAAAGCCAUAAAAACUUUCAGCAACGGAUCUCUUGGUUCUGGCAUCGAUGAAGAACGCAGC